RNAcentral lists this ribosomal RNA (459 nucleotides) under uncultured bacterium. RNAcentral describes it as "partial 16S ribosomal RNA". It matches the Rfam family "Bacterial small subunit ribosomal RNA", at positions 338 to 795 of the family's 1533-position model. The record is from RNAcentral.
CCUACGGGCGGCAGCAGUGAGGAAUAUUGGUCAAUGGCCGCAGGGCUGAACCAGCCAAGUCGCGUGAGGGAUGACGGUCCUAUGGAUUGUAAACCUCUUUUGUCAGGGAGCAAAGGGCGCCACGUGUGGCGCUUUGCGAGUACCUGAAGAAAAAGCAUCGGCUAACUCCGUGCCAGCAGCCGCGGUAAUACGGAGGAUGCGAGCGUUAUCCGGAUUUAUUGGGUUUAAAGGGUGCGCAGGCGGAAUGUCAAGUCAGCGGUAAAAUUUCGGGGCUAAACCCCGUCGUGCCGUUGAAACUGGCGUUCUUGAGUGAGCGAGAAGUAUGCGGAAUGCGUGGUGUAGCGGUGAAAUGCAUAGAUAUCACGCAGAACUACGAUUGCGAAGGCAGCAUACCGGCGCUCAACUGACGCUCAUGCACGAAAGCGUGGGUAUCGAACAGGAUUAGAUACCCCUGUAGUC